CCUAAGUUUUCACUCAAAACAUUACAUUGCCCAAGUUCCCUUCAAUUACUUAAUUAAUUUGCCAAAGGAUUCCAACAUAAUUAAAUUAUUUCAUCAAAUUUUACACGUCGUCUUCUCCUUCUCCCACAAUUUGAAAACCACAGAAAUCGCAUAUAUGCUUCUCUUCCUCUUUCUCUCAACCACCGCCGCCGACGAGUGCUCCAGUCGACGCCAUCAGGCCGUCGACGGCUCCUCAUUGGCGCACCUCAGUUUCUCAUCUCUCUCAGAUGUGAAAUUCAGAGAGAACCAAGUCUUUUCUUCUCUCUCUCGGUGAUUCUGGACGCUUGACGUCUCAGUACCGUCUCCAACCAAUUCCACCUCGCUGAUUACGGUUUCUGGAUUUGCAAAGUCCCUGACCCGUCUCCAGCUGCUCGGCCGUUCACAACGCCACGUCCAUCUCCUCUGCACAGGGCCCGCCGUCUCUCGCAAUGAGCGCCCGUUUUUCCAGCAAGCUCGUCGCUGUCGCUUUCCGUGGAAACUCACUGCCGAGCUAUCAUUGUCGCGGCUUGUUGCUGCUGGCUCAGAUUUGCGUUGCCGUCGUUAUGGUACUUCAAGCUUGCUGACAAGUUAUGCUAUUGUUGUUGUCAA
Molecule: non-coding RNA, 627 nt
Organism: Salvia hispanica
Lineage: Eukaryota; Viridiplantae; Streptophyta; Magnoliopsida; Lamiales; Lamiaceae
Source: RefSeq, a predicted model, not a curated record